This 420-nucleotide ribosomal RNA is filed under the name uncultured Bacteroidota bacterium. RNAcentral describes it as "bacterial SSU rRNA". It matches the Rfam family "Bacterial small subunit ribosomal RNA", at positions 57 to 478 of the family's 1533-position model. Lineage: Bacteria; Pseudomonadati; Bacteroidota. The record is from RNAcentral.
GCAAGUCGAGGGCAGCACGGUUUUCGGACUGGUGGCGACCGGCGCACGGGUGCGUAACGGCGUAUGCAAUCUACCCAUUACUGAGGGAUAGCCGGGGAAACUCGGAUUAAUACCUCAUAGUAUUACUUGAUGGCAUCUGAAGGUAAUUAAAGAUUUAUUGGUAAUGGAUGAGCAUGCGUCUGAUUAGUUAGUUGGUAAGGUAACGGCUUACCAAGACGAUGAUCAGUAGGGGGUCUGAGAGGAUGAUCCCCCACACUGGAACUGAGACACGGUCCAGACUCCUUCGGGAGGCAGCAGUAGGGAAUAUUGGUCAAUGGGCGAGAGCCUGAACCAGCCAUGCCGCGUGCAGGAUGACGGCCUUCUGGGUUGUAAACUGCUUUUAUAUGGGAAGAAACGAUCCUGCGAGAUUACUGACGGGCC